GAAGCUAAUACCGGAUAGGAUCUUCUCCUUCAUGGGAGAUGAUUGAAAGAUGGUUUCGGCUAUCACUUACAGAUGGGCCCGCGGUGCAUUAGCUAGUUGGUGAGGUAACGGCUCACCAAGGCAACGAUGCAUAGCCGACCUGAGAGGGUGAUCGGCCACACUGGGACUGAGACACGGCCCAGACUCCUACGGGAGGCAGCAGUAGGGAAUCUUCCGCAAUGGACGAAAGUCUGACGGAGCAACGCCGCGUGAGUGAUGAAGGCUUUCGGGUCGUAAAACUCUGUUGUUAGGGAAGAACAAGUACGAGAGUAACUGCUCGUACCUUGACGGUACCUAACCAGAAAGCCACGGCUAACUACGUGCCAGCAGCCGCGGGUAAUACGUAGGUGGCAAGCGUUAUCCGGAAUUAUUGGGGCGUAAAACACGCGGCAGGCGGUUUCUU
Molecule: ribosomal RNA, 442 nt
Filed under: Priestia megaterium
Lineage: Bacteria; Bacillati; Bacillota; Bacilli; Caryophanales; Bacillaceae
Description: bacterial SSU rRNA
Rfam family: Bacterial small subunit ribosomal RNA
Source: RNAcentral